RNAcentral lists this ribosomal RNA (514 nucleotides) under uncultured bacterium. RNAcentral describes it as "bacterial SSU rRNA". It matches the Rfam family "Bacterial small subunit ribosomal RNA", at positions 173 to 684 of the family's 1533-position model. The record is from RNAcentral.
UGUGAUCGAAAGAUCAAAGACGGGGACCGCAAGGCCUGUCACUUCCCGAUUGGUCCGCGGCCUAUCAGCUAGUUGGCGGGGUAAAAGCCCACCAAGGCUACGACGGGUAGCUGGUCUGAGAGGACGACCAGCCACACUGGAACUGAGACACGGUCCAGACACCUACGGGUGGCAGCAGUCGAGAAUCUUUCACAAUGGGGGCAACCCUGAUGGAGCGACGCCGCGUGGAGGAUAAGGUCUUCGGAUUGUAAACUCCUGUCAUGUGUGAACAAGGUUGCGGGGCUAAUACCUUUGCAAAUUGAUGGUAACACAAGAGGAAGAGACGGCUAACUCUGUGCCAGCAGCCGCGGUAAUACAGAGGUCUCAAGCGUUGUUCGGAAUCACUGGGCGUAAAGGGUGCGUAGGUGGCGUGGUAAGUCAGAUGUGAAAGCCCGGGGCUCAACCUCGGAAUUGCAUCCGAUACUGCCAUGCUCGAGUACUGAAGAGGUGACUAGAAUUCUAGGUGUAGCAGUAG